Molecule: long non-coding RNA, 2585 nt
Organism: Alligator mississippiensis (American alligator)
Lineage: Eukaryota; Metazoa; Chordata; Crocodylia; Alligatoridae
Exons: 3
Source: RefSeq, a predicted model, not a curated record
AUUGGGUUAGGCCUAUGGCGUGGGUCAGGCCCAUGGUGUGAGGGGGCUCCGUUCCACCUCCCCUCCCCUCCCCUCCCAGCUCUAGCCAUUCAAAAGUAGCUGGCAGCUCUGUGCUGGCUGCUCCCUCCCUUUCCCCCUUCCUCCCCUGCUGAUAGCCCCUGAGCUGGGGGGAGGCGCGGGGCUGGGGAGAGGGGCAGUUUGGCAGUCUCUUCGGAGGCUGACUGCCUGUAGACACCCUUAAGGAAAUGGAUCUCUUUUAGUCAUGAAUGAAUGAGAAUGAAGCAGGGGAAAGAAGCAACAUAUCCUCCCUUCCACCCCUCCAUUAUUAUACUCCUUCCAGUCACUGUGUUAGUUAUGGAGGAGCAGGAGUUGGUAUGACGAAACAGUUUGGUAGUUUCCAAUGCUUGGUUUGGAUCGCGAUAUCAGAGCAGUCUUUAAGCCAGGGCUGUCCAACAUCCAAGUAGCCAGAGACCUGGAGCUCCAUGGACCACACCAGCUGGAGCUGUAUGUCUUACGAGCUGCACCAGCUAAAUGGUGUGAGCAACUAUCUAGCAUAUGGAAGCAUUUCCACACUGCAAGUUAUUCCGAGAAAUAAAAUGUGAUUUGCAAAUACUGUGAAAUGAAAUAUGCAUUUCCAAAUGCUACUAGGAUGACCAAACACAUCCUUGUAUGUAAGAAGUGUUCUGCAGCUAUUAAAACAUCGUUCAUGGGUAUAAGUGAGGAGGAGGUAGAGCAUGGUGAUGGAAGUGAAAGUAGCUCCUUCCAACAUUCUUGAUCCAGAAGUCCUCCGACUGCUUCUUCUUCUAUAACAACACCAUCAUAAAGGUUUGCCCAAUCAACAUCCUCAAGUAACCAAAUAUUGCAACCAACUGUAUAUGAAAGACUCUCAAUAGCAUCAUUUGUAGACAAGAUGACACCUAAAGAUCAGGAAAAAAUUGACCAAGCUCUUGCAAAAGCAAUAUAUUAUUCUGGGAUGUCACUGUAAAUAACUGAAAAUGCAUACUGGCAGGAAGCUUUUAAAUUACUAAGACCAUCAUACUGUUUGCCCAGCAAGCCUCUUUUAGAGUCAGAAUAUGAAUGUGUAAUGUAAUCUGUGUGAGGAAAGAUCAGUGAAGCACUGUGUCUUGCAGUACUUGGAUGAAUGGACAAAUGUGUGGAGAGAAGGAAUCAUAAAUUUUGCGAUAACAACACCUCAACCAGUUUUUUACAGAAGCACUGAAACAGGAGAGAACAGGCAUACUGCAGAGUAUAUCAGUAGCAAAAUAUGUGAAGUCCUACAGAAGAUUGGGAGUGGUAAAGUAUUUGCUUCGCUGACUGAUAAGGAAGUAACAUGAAAGCAGCAUGGGAGAUCAUAAUGGAUAAAUAUCCACAUAUUACUGCAAUAGGAUGUGCAUCCCAUGAGCUACAGUAACUUCUUAAUGACAUGAAGUUGGACACUCUGCAAAAGAAGCUAUAAAACAUGUAACAGCUACUGAUAUUGUAGCUGCAGUCUUUAAGAAGAAGCAGGAAGAAAAGAAUGCAAAGAAUAAAAUAGAGACUCUCAAACUCUGUAGUAAAACUAGAUGGGGUGGAGUGGUGAUCUCAUUUGAAAGUUUACUAAAAACAAAGAAGCUCUUCAAGAAACAGUAAUAACUGAGGAUCUUAAAGUAUCGAGAAGUGUAAGGAACACUGCACUUGAUGAGGAUGUCUUCUGGGUUUAGCUGCAGAACUCCCUGAAAAUUCUAAAGAUAAUUUCUUCAGCAAUCACUGCAUCUGGAUCAGACAGUGCACUUUUGUCAGAUAUUCCUUACCAAAUGGCCCAGAUAAAAAUCAACCGUUUUUGAGAAUCUAAGUGUAUCUGCUUACAACUACAGAAGAAAAAAAAGUGACUUUAACAGACGGGAAGAAUUUUGUUGCCAAUCAAUUCAUGCUGCUGCAAAUCUCUUGGAUCCAAGAUUCAGAAAUGUUAGAGGUGAUAGCACUGCUACUGCAUUUGACUGGAUUACAAAACAAGCAACACACUUAGGACUUGCUGUAGAAAAGGUACUUUCAAAUGUUGCAGAAUAAAAAACAUCUUCAGGUAUUUGGUCCAGGAAUGCAGUCUGAGACUCUGCCAAGGAUAUAUCCCUCCUGCAGCAUGGUGCCAAGGCCUUUGCACAACCCAGCCUCUGACUCCUCUUGCUUUUCACCUGCUCCAAUCUGCUCAGAUUCCUCCACCUUCUGCAGCAUGUGAAAGAAACUGGUCUAUGUUUGGAAAUACUCACACCAAAUCAAGAAACAAACUAGCAUGUGAAAGAGUAGAGAAGCUUGUCUCAAUCUGGGCAAACCUUCAAUCUGGGCAAGCCUUCAGUUUUCAGAAGUCCAUGAAUAUGAUAAAAAUGAAGGAUAAGAAGAAGCAGAAGAAGCAGAAAAUGCUGAUAGUGAUAGCUCAGAAAAUGAGACUGAUUAGACAAAGUUUCAUGUAGCAAAAUUUGUAUUCAAUGAGUCUUGGGUUUUUUUCCUCCUUUUUUUUCUCAGCUCUUUUUCUAAAAAUGAGUGCUUUCUGUAUCUGCUUGACACUGUGGAGGGGACUAAGUCCUGAAUACAUGAUAACUUUCUUUGUUUUA